CCACUUGGCAAGUUCAUCAUUGGCAGGAGUGACAGUAGCAGCAGCUUUCUUUGAAGGAGGAGGUGGUGCUGCCUUCUUCUUACCAAAGAGAGCCACGGUCUUGAAGGGAGUCUGAG
This is a non-coding RNA of Arachis ipaensis, 116 nucleotides long. NCBI's taxonomy places the organism in Eukaryota, Viridiplantae, Streptophyta, Magnoliopsida, Fabales, Fabaceae. The record is from RefSeq and is a predicted model, not a curated record.